Molecule: ribosomal RNA, 440 nt
Filed under: uncultured bacterium
Lineage: Bacteria
Description: partial 16S ribosomal RNA
Rfam family: Bacterial small subunit ribosomal RNA
Source: RNAcentral
CCUACGGGAGGCUGCAGUGGGGGAUAUUGCACAAUGGGGGGAACCCUGAUGCAGCGACGCCGCGUGGGUGAAGAAGCGCCUCGGCGCGUAAAGCCCUGUCAGCAGGGAAGAAAAUGACGGUACCUGAAGAAGAAGCCCCGGCUAACUACGUGUCAGCAGCCGCGGUAAUACGUAGGGGGCAAGCGUUAUCCGGAUUUACUGGGUGUAAAGGGGGCGCAGAGGGCGAUGCAAGCCAGGAGUGAAAGCCCGGGGCUCAACCCCGGGACUGCUCUGGGAACUGGGUGGCUGGAGUGCAGGAGGGGCAGGCGGAAGUCGUGGUGUAGCGGUGAAAGGCGUAGAUAUCAGGAGGAACACCGGUGGCGAAGGCAGCCUGCGGGACUGCAACUGACGUUGAGGCCCGAAGGCGUGGGGAGCAAACAGGAUUAGAUACCCCUGUAGUC